Molecule: transfer RNA, 85 nt
Filed under: Candidatus Magasanikbacteria bacterium CG1_02_32_51
Lineage: Bacteria; Candidatus Magasanikiibacteriota
Also listed under: 2 other names
Description: tRNA-Leu
Rfam family: tRNA
About the family: Transfer RNA (tRNA) molecules are approximately 80 nucleotides in length. Their secondary structure includes four short double-helical elements and three loops (D, anti-codon, and T loops). Further hydrogen bonds mediate the characteristic L-shaped molecular structure. tRNAs have two regions of fundamental functional importance: the anti-codon, which is responsible for specific mRNA codon recognition, and the 3' end, to which the tRNAs corresponding amino acid is attached (by aminoacyl-tRNA synthetases). tRNAs cope with the degeneracy of the genetic code in two manners: having more than one tRNA (with a specific anti-codon) for a particular amino acid; and 'wobble' base-pairing, i.e. permitting non-standard base-pairing at the 3rd anti-codon position.
Source: RNAcentral
GUCGGAGUGGUGGAAUGGUAUACACACUAGCUUGAGGUGCUAGGCUCGCAAGGGCGUGGGGGUUCGAGUCCCCCCUUCGACACUA